AAAUUUUAUCACACUUUUGUUUCUGAGAGCGAUUGUUCUUUGGGGUAUCUUAUGCUGGUUUUUUAGGAUAAGUGAAAUUUUGUCUGUUAAAAGAUCAGAUGUUGUAUUUUUAGAUACGCAUUGUGAUAUUAAAGUUGAAAAGUCAAAAACGGACAUUUUAAGAGAAGGUAAUACUAUUCUGAUUGCAAAAACUAAUACAGACACAUGUCCUGUGAAAUUGUUUGAAAAGUAUUUGUGUGUUGCAGAUAUUGCAUGUUCAUCUACUGAUUAUGUGUUUAGACCAGUUUAUUUGUGUAAUGUUAAACACUGUUUCAAAUUGAUUUCCAAUAAUAAGCAUAUAAGUUAUUCUAUUAUAAAUGAUAGUUUUAAGAAGAAGUUAAGUCUAUUGGGUUAUGUUUCUUCUAAAUAUGGACUUCAUUCUUUUCGUGCUGGUGGAGCAUUUAUAAGUGCCAAUAAUAAGACUGUGGAUAGACUUUGGCAAAGACAUGGUAGAUGAAAAAGUGUUUCCACUAAGGACGGAUAUGUUAAAGAUUAUUUGAAAGACAGAUUAUCGGUGUCGCUAAAUUUAGAUUUGUGAAAAGUCAUUAUUAAUGUAUGUGUGAUUUGAAAUGUAUGAUGUGUUGUUCGUAGCACAUUUAAAGACACUAUAAUAUAUUAUUAUUAUAUAAAUGGUUUGGAAAUGCUUUUGAGUAUUAUUAAGUUCUGUGUUUGUGUUGUGUGUAUGUUCCUUGUGGUCAUUGGACCAAUUUGUUUACGUCCAUUUGGCCUCAUUUGGUAAGCCAGUUGGCUUGUAUGGUCAGUUGACCGUUUUUAAAAGCAAGUUGAUCUGAUGUGUGAAAGCCGGUUGGCUUUUGUGAGUUGACCUUAUUUUCUUAAAAAGCAUGUUCACAUGGAAUUAACAAUCUUUGCAAGUUUAUUUUUUGCAGUGCAGUAACUGGACAGUACGAAUGGUAUAUUAAGUAUUGGAGAACAUAAAGUUAAAACACAGUUCGAGAGGUAUAUAACGUGGUGGAGAAUAUUUGGGUAUUCAUUUUAUGUUUCAUAUUAUUUGUAUUCUCUCUUUGUUUUAUACGAAAGUCCUGUCAAAUACAAGCACUCACUCCUAUUUUGUCUUUGGUUUAUUAUUUGUAUGAUAAUGAUAAUGAUGAUGAUAUGGGUUAUAAAGAUGAUGAGAUUUUAAUAGUAUUUUGAGAAUAGAGAAUAAUAAAUUUACUCAUAACUAUGAGUAAAUGAAAUUAUUCUCGGUUUGAUAAAUACGGUAUAGUAUGGUUUAUUACGUGUUAUUUAGAAGAGAGAUUAUGGUAAUGGUUUAGCGCGAAUAAUGCACGGGUUUUGUGUGCAUGUUUUAGCGCGAAAGCGCACGAGUUUUUCGUUUUGGGGUAUAUAUGAUUUGCACAUCUAUUGAGUCGCCAUUCGAGGGUGUAUUUGACAGGCAAACGUUAUGGAACAAGAAAAUGAAAGGGUGAUAACCCCGCCCGCCCUUAAUGAGCAAAUGUAUGGUUAAAUAAUUGGUUACAUUGCUUUUAUGUUUAUAAUUUUGCAAUUAUAAAGUCUAUAUUUAGUAUAUUUUCAGUUCAGUUUUUAGUCCAUGUGAGAUGGGAUCUUAACACAAACCGAUUCCUUUACUGAGAAAGACGAUGGGUGUAUUUUCAUUUAAGUCUGAAGCAGCUGAGUUUUCUUGAUUAUUUUGACUCAUUUUUUACUUAAUAUUGUGUUUGAAUGAGGUUUUUUAAGUUAUUGUUGUCAUGUUUUUCGAGACUCUCACUUCCUGGAGAUAGUACCUCCAGCAUAUUUAUUGAAAUAUUAGAAUGUUUAAAUUUCAGUGUUAUUUUUUAUUGUCUUUCGUAAUGAACGUUUAAUUUUAAAGACAUUCUUAUUGUACGAUUACUUCAUAUUUUCAUUUUGGUGUGACUGGUAAGAUGUUGAAGUCGGUUUAAUAUAGCUGUUCGUCAUAUGCAUUUAUAUAUAUCUCGGAAUACUUAUUAUUUAUCAACAUUCUUUUUAGGUGCAUUAUGGAUUUUAUGGUUUGAGUGAUUUGUUUGUUUUUAUGUUGAUGUCCGGGGUGUGUGCGGGAUGCUUUUGAUGUUUGUUUGUUAUUUUAAUUUGCGCAAUGAAAUCGAUAAUGUUUUAAUUACAUUUUAUACUAAAUAAUACUUAAUGUUUACAGUAUAAUAAUAGCUGCUUAUUUGUAGAUUUCUCUAAAAUUAGAGGUUUCGGGAGGUGAUGAAGGCACCUAGACACCGGUCUUGAGCCAUGGGUCCUCAUACGUCCCCCUGCCAUUAAAAAAAAAAAUAAGAAAACAAAAAUGGCAGUAGGGUUGCGUAUCCCGCUCGCG
Dreissena polymorpha is the source of this 2335-nucleotide long non-coding RNA. RefSeq lists it as uncharacterized. The record is from RefSeq and is a predicted model, not a curated record. The transcript is spliced from 2 exons. Lineage: Eukaryota; Metazoa; Mollusca; Bivalvia; Myida; Dreissenidae.